RNAcentral lists this long non-coding RNA (226 nucleotides) under Gallus gallus (chicken). The record is from RNAcentral. Lineage: Eukaryota; Metazoa; Chordata; Aves; Galliformes; Phasianidae.
CCUUCGCUAUUUGUUCCUUAUCCAGAGUCAUAUCGGGGAGGUUUGGAGGGAUGUCAUUGCUCUCGCUGUCCUGCUCUGAAAUGGGAUUGGAUGCCUCAUAGCCAUAAAGUGCAAGCAGCUCCUCAAAUGGCAUUUCACUGCUCUGAGAGGCACUGAAACUCUUCUCCAGCUCUUCUAAAGACUUCUGCUUCUCCUGAGCAUCAUCUUCUUCUUCCCUUUCUUCCCG